RNAcentral lists this ribosomal RNA (189 nucleotides) under uncultured Staphylococcus sp. RNAcentral describes it as "partial 16S ribosomal RNA". It matches the Rfam family "Bacterial small subunit ribosomal RNA", at positions 151 to 334 of the family's 1533-position model. Lineage: Bacteria; Bacillati; Bacillota; Bacilli; Caryophanales; Staphylococcaceae. The record is from RNAcentral.
UGGAAACCGGAGCUAAUACCGGAUAAUAUUUUAAACCGCAUGGUUCAAAAGUGAAAGACGGUCUUGCUGUCACUUAUAGAUGGAUCCGCGCUGCAUUAGCUAGUUGGUAAGGUAACGGCUUACCAAGGCAACGAUGCAUAGCCGACCUGAGAGGGUGAUCGGCCACACUGGAACUGAGACACGGUCCAG